GACGAACGCUGGCGGCGUGCCUAAUACAUGCAAGUCGAACGAACUCUGGUAUUGAUUGGUGCUUGCAUCAUGAUUUACAUUUGAGUGAGUGGCGAACUGGUGAGUAACACGUGGGAAACCUGCCCAGAAGCGGGGGAUAACACCUGGAAACAGAUGCUAAUACCGCAUAACAACUUGGACCGCAUGGUCCGAGUUGUAAGAAUGCGUCGUCGUAU
Molecule: ribosomal RNA, 215 nt
Filed under: uncultured bacterium
Lineage: Bacteria
Description: partial 16S ribosomal RNA
Rfam family: Bacterial small subunit ribosomal RNA
Source: RNAcentral